GCCUAAAGCGUCCGUAGCCUGUUCUAUAAGUUUCCGGUUAAAUCCACUAGCUCAACUAGUGGGCUGCCGAAAAUACUGUAGAACUAGGGAGUGGGAGAGGUAGACGGUAUUCGGUAGGAAGGGGUAAAAUCCUUUGAUCUAUCGAGGACCACCUGUGGCGAAGGCGGUCUACCAGAACACGUUCGACGGUGAGGGAUGAAAGCUGGGGGAGCAAACCGGAUUAGAUACCCGGGUAGUCCCAGCCGUAAACGAUGCAGACUCGGUGAUGCCCUGGCUUGUGGCCAGUGCAGUGCCGCAGGGAAGCCGUUAAGUUUGCCGCCUGGGAAGUACGUACGCAAGUAUGAAACUUAAAGGAAUUGGCGGGGGAGCACCACAAGGGGUGAAGCCUGCGGUUCAAUUGGAGUCAACGCCAGAAAUCUUACCCGAAGAGACAGCAGAAUGAAGGUCAAGCUGGAGACUUUACCAGACAAGCUGAGAAGUGGUGCAUGGCCGUCGCCAGCUCGUGCCGUGAGAUGUCCUGUUAAGUCAGGUAACGAGCGAGAUCCCUGCCUCUAGUUGCCACCAUUACUCUCAGGAGUAGUGGGGCGAAUUAGCGGGACCGCCGCAGUUAAUGCGGAGGAAGGAAGGGGCCACGGCAGGUCAGUAUGCCCCGAA
RNAcentral lists this ribosomal RNA (654 nucleotides) under uncultured archaeon. RNAcentral describes it as "bacterial SSU rRNA". It matches the Rfam family "Archaeal small subunit ribosomal RNA", at positions 508 to 1160 of the family's 1478-position model. The record is from RNAcentral.